This 503-nucleotide ribosomal RNA is filed under the name uncultured bacterium. RNAcentral's name for it is "partial 16S ribosomal RNA". It matches the Rfam family "Bacterial small subunit ribosomal RNA", at positions 30 to 523 of the family's 1533-position model. The record is from RNAcentral.
AUUGAACGCUGGCGGCAGGCUUAACACAUGCAAGUCGAGCGGGGUGAUGGUGCUUGCACUAUCACUUAGCGGCGGACGGGUGAGUAAUGCUUAGGAAUCUGCCUAUUAGUGGGGGACAACAUCUCGAAAGGGAUGCUAAUACCGCAUACGUCCUACGGGAGAAAGCAGGGGAUCACUUGUGACCUUGCGCUAAUAGAUGAGCCUAAGUCGGAUAAGCUAGUUGGUGGGGUAAAGGCCUACCAAGGCGACGAUCUGUAGCGGGUCUGAGAGGAUGAUCCGCCACACUGGGACUGAGACACGGCCCAGACUCCUACGGGAGGCAGCAGUGGGGAAUAUUGGACAAUGGGGGGAACCCUGAUCCAGCCAUGCCGCGUGUGUGAAGAAGGCCUUAUGGUUGUAAAGCACUUUAAGCGAGGAGGAGGCCCUUUUGGUUAAUACCCAAGAUGAGUGGACGUUACUCGCAGAAUAAGCACCGGCUAACUCUGUGCCAGCAGCCGCCGUAA